This 404-nucleotide transfer-messenger RNA is filed under the name Patescibacteria group. RNAcentral describes it as "B79-G16 sp003647645 Standard tmRNA". It matches the Rfam family "transfer-messenger RNA". Rfam says of the family: Bacterial tmRNA, also known as 10Sa RNA or SsrA, is named for its dual tRNA and mRNA-like properties. Its role is to liberate the mRNA from a stalled ribosome. To accomplish this part of the tmRNA is used as a reading frame that ends in a translation stop signal. RNAcentral also lists the same sequence under 2 other names. The record is from RNAcentral.
GGGGCUGUUUGGCUUCGACAGGGACAUUGAUUUUUAUGGAUUGCAUAUCGCGGAUGUUCGCUCACGCGUCCUCCGGACCAGAGGUCACUCCGGACCGGCGGUAAAACAACGGACAAACUUACAAAUGCCAAUAAAGCAUUUAGCGGACUUCGGUUCGCGCCAGCACUGGCUUAAUUUCUAGUGCCGCUGAUUUCAGCUUGUACUCGGCAAGGUUGUGAUCGGCGUCGAUUUAGCCGAGUUGCAUUGUUGGAUGUCGGUGCCAACAACUAAGAUUCAUCCGACUUAUCCUAUUGUUGCUUUGUCUAUUUGUGAACAGUAGGGGAUACAAACCAAAUAGACUAUGUAUGUAGAAGUUUAUAAAAAUUAUUCUCUGGACGGGGGUUCAAUUCCCCCCAGCUCCACCA